UUGUAGAUUUAAUUCAACUAUUACAUAUUCUAAGUAUUAAAAAACAACUUUAUCACGGGGGCCUGGUGUGCAAUGGCUGCAAACAGCAGCCUGCUUGGUUGUGUAUGCAGCCUGUUACUCGUAUACGUUGCUCUAAGGGACCUUGGAGACAUUC
This is a small nucleolar RNA of Otolemur garnettii (small-eared galago), 154 nucleotides long. Its record names the gene SNORA70. It matches the Rfam family "Small nucleolar RNA SNORA70". From Rfam's summary of the family: snoRNA U70 seems to be exclusive to mammals and is a member of the H/ACA class of snoRNA which contain H (ANANNA) and ACA box motifs. H/ACA box snoRNAs are involved in the conversion of uridines to pseudouridines (5-ribosyluracil) a constituent of structural RNAs (transfer, ribosomal, small nuclear, and small nucleolar). The record is from Ensembl. Lineage: Eukaryota; Metazoa; Chordata; Mammalia; Primates; Galagidae.